Molecule: ribosomal RNA, 253 nt
Filed under: uncultured bacterium
Lineage: Bacteria
Description: partial 16S ribosomal RNA
Rfam family: Bacterial small subunit ribosomal RNA
Source: RNAcentral
UACGUAGGGGGCAAGCGUUGUCCGGAUUUACUGGGCGUAAAGAGCGUGUAGGCGGCCAGGCAGGUCUGUUGUGAAAACUGGAGGCUCAACUUCCAGACGUCGACGGAAACCGCUUGGCUAGAGUCCGGAAGAGGAGAGUGGAAUUCCUGGUGUAGCGGUGAAAUGCGCAGAUAUCAGGAAGAACACCGAUGGCGAAGGCAGCUCUCUGGGACGGUACUGACGCUGAGACGCGAAAGCGUGGGGAGCGAACAGG